This 2817-nucleotide long non-coding RNA is filed under the name Mus musculus (house mouse). Its description in RNAcentral is "distal-less homeobox 1, antisense". Lineage: Eukaryota; Metazoa; Chordata; Mammalia; Rodentia; Muridae. The record is from RNAcentral.
UUCAGUUCUAUUCUGCAAGCUCAGAGAUGCAAAAAGCCUGCGGCGCUCUGGAGGCGCCUGGUCCUGGGGACCUCUUUCCUCCACUCUGUUCUCAGCAUAGGAAGAUGGGGCUGGGGAAUUCUUUUUGGUUUUCUGGUUUUGUUUUGCUCUGGUUUUGGUCGGGGUUUUGUAUUUUUCUAUUCUUCCUUGGUUUUAUUUUUUCCUUUUUUUCCUUUUUUUUUUUCUUUUGCUUUCCUGUCAUUCUCCCAGCCAAAAGCCGCCUUCGACCCUUUUGAUUUGAUGUAGCAAAGAGUGUGUGUCCAGAUUAUCUGAAAUAGACACUGAAGAAGCUACAUAGAUGGUCAAGCAGGGCCCGGAAGAAGACCAUUCAGGAAAAAGUGGUCCAGGACUCGGUGGAUGGGCUGCCGGCAGACCGGUGUGGCUCAGACCUGGUGACUUUUUGGAGAGGUCGUAGAAUGAGGACAGCAGACACACGAGGACCUUGACUUCGGCGCACAGACAGUGCAAAAAGGAGACAAAGACGGACAGAAUCAAAAAAGAGCGUAUUUCCCCCUCCUACGUAUUUGUUUUUCCUGAUAGUCUCACAAAGAUGAGAGUCUGGUCCGGUCCAGCGGGUUAUCUUGUGGCACUGGCUGUCUCCAGUGGCUGUGCCUGCGCUUUGAGGCCACUCUGCUGUUCACCGUGGCCCAAACCAGAUUCGGGCUGAAAGGUCGCUGAGUCAGACUUUUAGGGGCUCCGAGAAGCAGCAAGCCCUCUGCCUUCACUGUUCCUUUUUCUUUUAUUUUUAGCUCCCCACCCCCACCCCUGCUCCCGCUCGUGGGCUCUUCUCCUCCUGGCCCAGGGCGUGCGAAAAGGUGGAUGAACCUGGAGGCGGGAGGGGCCGGGCCAAGGGAGACGGGCAGGAAGCGGGUGAGUGCGAACUGAUAACCUCACAUCAGUUGAGGCUGCUGCAUAGCUUCUUGGUGCGCUGAGGGAUACCAUGAUGUAUAGCUGGGGACGUAGGAGCCAGCGCUGCUGCCGGAGCCCUUCCCAGAUGAGGAGUUCGGAUUCCAGCCGGGUGGUACCGGUGGGGAGCCGGCAGACAAGGCUCUGCCGUUCGCCAGCGCGCUGCCCUCCAGAGCUGCCCCGCCUUGCUUCAUCAGCUUCUUGAACUUGGAGCGUUUGUUCUGGAACCAUAUCUUGACCUGCAGGAUCGGGCGACAACGUGACUGGACUAUGACCAUUGAGCCUACCCAGGUCCAAGGAGAAAAGGGACGGGUGGACAACAAUACCCGCCCUCCUUGCUUUGGGAAAGCUGACAGCUCCAGGACAGAGGGGCAGAGACCACCGCCUCCCCACACCCCAUGAGGGCCAAAGGCCAGAAAAUUGAGCCCCAGGUCCAGCCGCUGUUGGCAACUUUUAGAGCAGCUAUCAGAGCCGGGAAUAAGAGAACAGGGGAGAGCCAGGCCUUGGCUUGCAAAUGAGACGAUGCCACCUGGGCGACGUUUAUGGAAGACCUCAUGCAGCACAAUGCAAUAACAAUAAAGAAAAUUUAAAACCUAGAUAGGAACGGGGUGGGGGGCGGGGGCAUUUGUUAAAAUUAGAUCUCCUUUCCUCGUAGGACUAUUGGAAGAGGCUACAGCGUCUUUGUUAAACUCUUUAGACUCAAACCAAUUCUCCCCCCCACCCCCAACGGUGUAUUUGCUUUCCCCAGCUCCAACCUAAAUCUAGAGACAGACUGGCCCUCGUUCGAAUGCCUAGGAACUGCCCAGGGUCUUAGAGAAGUGCAGGAAGAAAAAAGAAAAAUCUCACUUUUUUUUUCCCCCUUCUUCUUAAGGAUCUGGAACUUGGGAAGUGAAGGGCCAGAGGGAAGGAUCUGCCUCUGCCACCUCGCAAGAAGAAGGAGGUGGGGGAAGCAGGCUUAGGCCCAGGACCUGAGUGAUUAGUGGCACACUUUAAAGGCUAAGGAAGAUUAAAUCCCCCUUCUAUUGUUCCAGUUGUUCAGGCACGUGUGACCUCAGAACCUCCAAACAAAACGUCUGGGGAAAUCCUUCCAGUUCCCUGCCUGGUCAGAAGACCAGGUAGCCUGCAGGUCAGAGAGUAGGGUCCGAGCUAGGGCAAACAGUUUGAGGGAGGAAGAGGAGACGCUGAAAGUCAGAGGUGGAUACACACACACACACACACACACACACACACACACGGGUUGGGGGGCGGACUGUGACACCUAGAACCAGAGGCCCAGCGAACAAAAAAUGUGAAGCCUGGGGCUGGAGCCCAGCUCCCGAGGCUUGUUUGGCAGAGCGGCCAGGUACCUGCGUCUGUGUGAGUCCCAAGGAGGCCGCCAGCUCCGCCCUCUCAGGCAGAGCUAAGUACUGAGUUUGUUGGAACCUCCGGUUCAAAGCCUGCAACUGCAAACUGGAAUAAAUUGUCCUGGGUUUACGGAUCUUUUUCCCUUUGCCGUUAAAGCGCACCUCGCCGCCUUCCACCACCGUACUCUUCUCGGAGUCCGCCCCUGGAGGGACAACAGAAGCAGAGACCCUUGUUAAUGCUGCACUGCCUUUAGUGAGGAGGGACGAGAAUGAAUGUCUAUGGAUGGGUUGGCAGAAGUAGGGUCCGGAAAAGAACGUUCAAGAAACCCUGAAAGACUGCGAAGGUCCCUCAAGGUCCGAGCGCACGUCCCUGGCUGCUGCAGACAGAAUUGGGUCGUUCCCAAGAGCGCAGCUAUUGCCUUUGCAGAGAAAGUUUGCUAUUUUUUGCAGGCGGUAGUUGAGGUUUAAUUACCCUUAAUUGCAUACAUUGUUUAUAGCGCUACGCAAUAAAUAAUUACCGAGACUAAUA